GCCAGGUGCAGUGGCGGGCACCUGUAAUCCCAGCUACUCCAGAGGCUGAGGCAGGAGAAUCGCUUGAAUCCGGGAGGUGGAGGUUGCAGUGAGCCGAGAUCGGGCCACUGCACUCUAGCCUGGGUGACAGAGCAAGACCCUGCCUCAA
Molecule: non-coding RNA, 148 nt
Filed under: Pan paniscus (pygmy chimpanzee)
Lineage: Eukaryota; Metazoa; Chordata; Mammalia; Primates; Hominidae
Also listed under: 1 other name
Source: Rfam by way of RNAcentral